This is a non-coding RNA of Labrus bergylta (ballan wrasse), 994 nucleotides long. The record is from RefSeq and is a predicted model, not a curated record. Lineage: Eukaryota; Metazoa; Chordata; Actinopteri; Labriformes; Labridae.
AGAAGUAGGAGGGAAACUGCUGAGUCUCAUCUGAGCGUGAAAGUAACAUACGCCACAGUCUGAGGGUGCAGUAGCAGCUCUGCAUUAAAUCAAUCUAUCACCAUACAUGUGGACAUCUGGAAACAAAUACUAGACGACAGAGGAUUAUAAUGAUCACACUUUUGUUGACAUGAUGGACUUUCAUCUAAAAUACAGAUCAGGAAUGUGGCUGCAAACCCUUACAUGACCGGGACAACAGUGAAAGGCCUUCUCUUCAUUGGCGCCAUUCAUCAUGGAUGGAUUAUAACAGUGGAUGUUACACAACACGCCAUGUAGAAGUGAAGACGUGGUGACUUCUGAGAUGAUGGAGGAGAAGAACGGAGAUGAUCAUGCGAUGGAGGAGGAUGAGGAGGAUGUGCAAAACAAUCCAAAAUGGUCCAAUGGUAACGGCUACUUCUAUAUUCUUAUUUAUUUGGUCACAAAAAUGCAAACAAAAAAUCAGGAUGGGAAAGGAUCUUCUGAGAUGCAAAUAAAUUAACUCCUUAAUUUAAGUUAUUCCCUCUUCAGCUUUGAGAUUGGAGCAUUGGUUAAAAAAGGAAGAUGUUUCCAGGAAGUGAAAUGUCUCCAACAAAGACUCAGAGAAUACUUGCACACAUCCUAUCAAGUACUUUGAGUACAUUUGGUUUUAUUUUAUAGACAUUCCUCCCAAUAGAGCUUACAACAAAUCUCUGUAAUAUAAAAAUCAGGAUUAAAUGUGUAUUUCAAGAUGUUGCUUGUCUGCGCAGCUCGACUUUGUACAGUCUGGCUGACCUCAGGUCAGAGUGAUAUGUGAAGUUAUUUAUAUUUGACCAGUCUGCUUUUGUGUUGACUUUACUUCCUUUUUCAUUGUCACAGUUUUACAUGUCAACAAACGUUCAACAGUUUUUUGCUCUUUUUUUUCCUCGAUUUCUGUAGUUCUUUUUGAAAAUCACAGAAACUAUUUUAAAAGAUGUAGAAGUGGUUACAGCUUUUUCUC